GACCAGCGGAGGGAUCAUUACCGAGUUUACAACUCCCAAACCCAAUGUGAACGUUACCAAACUGUUGCCUCGGCGGGAUCUCUGCCCCGGGUGCGUCGCAGCCCCGGACCAAGGCGCCCGCCGGAGGACCAACCAAAACUCUUUUUGUAUACCCCCUCGCGGGUUUUUUUAUAAUCUGAGCCUUCUCGGCGCCUCUCGUAGGCGUUUCGAAAAUGAAUCAAAACUUUCAACAACGGAUCUCUUGGUUCUGGCAUCGAUGAAGAACGCAGCGAAAUGCGAUAAGUAAUGUGAAUUGCAGAAUUCAGUGAAUCAUCGAAUCUUUGAACGCACAUUGCGCCCGCCAGUAUUCUGGCGGGCAUGCCUGUCCGAGCGUCAUUUCAACCCUCGAACCCCUCCGGGGGGUCGGCGUUGGGGAUCGGCCCUCCCUUAGCGGGUGGCCGUCUCCGAAAUACAGUGGCGGUCUCGCCGCAGCCUCUCCUGCGCAGUAGUUUGCACACUCGCAUCGGGAGCGCGGCGCGUCCACAGCCGUUAAACACCCAACUUCUGAAAUGUUGACCUCGGAUCAGGUAGGAAUACCCGCUGAACUUAAGCAUAUCAAUAAGCCGGAG
This 608-nucleotide ribosomal RNA is filed under the name Trichoderma harzianum. RNAcentral's name for it is "eukaryotic LSU rRNA". The stretch from base 222 to 375 matches the Rfam family "5.8S ribosomal RNA". The record is from RNAcentral. Lineage: Eukaryota; Fungi; Ascomycota; Sordariomycetes; Hypocreales; Hypocreaceae.